GACGAACGCUGGCGGCGUGCUUAACACAUGCAAGUCGAACGAAGAGCGAUGGAAGCUUGCUUCUCUCAAUCUUAGUGGCGCACGGGUGAGUAACGCGUAAUCAACCUGCCCUUCAGAGGGGGGCAACAGUUGGAAACGACUGCUAAUACCGCAUACGAUCUAAUCUCGGCAUCGAGGAUAGAUGAAAGGUGGCCUCUACAUGUAAGCUAUCACUGAAGGAGGGGAUUGCGUCUGAUUAGCUAGUUGGAGGGGUAACGGCCCACCAAGGCGAUGAUCAGUAGCCGGUCUGAGAGGAUGAACGGCCACAUUGGGACUGAGACACGGCCCAGACUCCUACGGGAGGCAGCAGUGGGGAAGCUUCCGCAAUGGACGAAAGUCUGACGGAGCAACGCCGCGUGAGUGAUGACGGCCGUCGGGUUGUAAAGCUCUGUUAAUCGGGAAGAAAGGCCUUCUUGCGAAUAGGGAGAAGGAUUGACGGUACCGGAAUAGAAAGCCACGGCUAACUACGUG
This 510-nucleotide ribosomal RNA is filed under the name uncultured bacterium. Its description in RNAcentral is "partial 16S ribosomal RNA". It matches the Rfam family "Bacterial small subunit ribosomal RNA", at positions 28 to 507 of the family's 1533-position model. The record is from RNAcentral.